AUGCCGCGUUUGUGGAACACACUGAUUAGCACCGCUGAGGGAGGCGGGCUGCUCCCUGCAGGAGAACGUGAUGGUGUCUCUGGCCAACGCGCGCCUUCUGCUUCCUGUGUUCCAGCUGGAGAGGAGGAAGUGGCAGCUGGAGAGGAGGAAGUGGCAGCUGAGGAGGCCGGCGAAGAGGAGGCUGCCGCUGAUGGCGAAGGAGAGACCGUAGCCGAGGUCGUGGCCGAGGUUGCAGAGGUCGUCGCUGAGGCGGCGGAGGAGGUCGCCGAGGCGGCAGAGGAAGUUACAGAGGUCGCUCGUGAAGUGGAGGCGGUCGCGGGAGAGGUGGCUAAGGCGGCCGAAGCCGCCCCCCAAGCCGCCGCAGAACCAGCCGCCGAGGAGCCCGACAGCAACGUGCCGCUGGCUGCUGCUUCUGCUCUAGAAGUACCAAAGAUCAUUGAAGUGACGGAAGAGUUAGCCGCAGCCAUUCAGGACAUCGAUGAGUCCCUUGCACAAGUUGAGGAGGCUACCAAGCCAGCAGAAGAGUCCCCAGCACCAGUAGAGCCUGCACCAGUUGAAGACACCACAGCACCAGUAGAGGUUGCACCAGUUGAAGAGGCCCCAGCACCAGUAGAGGCUGCACCAGUUGUUGAAGAGGCCCCGGCACCAGUAGAGGCUGCACCAGUUGUUGAGGAAGUCUUGGUACCAUCUGAACCUGAAGUUACCACAGCACUUGCUGAGGAACCAGUCACCACCGCAGUUGAUGAAGAGGCUCUGGCAACCAUCGCUGCAGAAGUAGCGACCCCUAUGGUGGUUGAAGAAGCGGCUACUGAGACCCUUGCAGAAGCUCCGAAGAGAGAGUACAUUGUUGUGGUCCUGGAAGGAACACCUAAAGCUGAUAAGUCACCCAAGGUGCUUGGAGUGGAGUCCAUGACUGGUAGAAUCAUCCCAACUCCAGACGACGACGUCUCUGCUUCUGAGGUAUCGGAUAAUCCGAUUUUUUUGGGAGUAACCUCAGAUAGGACAUAUGAUAAAAAAAAACAUGGAUUAAUCUAUCUUUCAGUAUUGCAGUGUUUUGAGAAAGGGUUUAAAGAACAGUUAUUAUCAGAAUGCUCUUAA
Molecule: long non-coding RNA, 1098 nt
Organism: Gasterosteus aculeatus (three-spined stickleback)
Lineage: Eukaryota; Metazoa; Chordata; Actinopteri; Perciformes; Gasterosteidae
Source: Ensembl